AUUGCUGAAGAACUGUCCAUCAUUCAGGAAAACUCCACCCGUUAGCUUCCUGUAUCUCAGAAAAUGUUCAUCAUCUCAAUUGCUAUCUCUAUUAUCUCUGUUAAAUGUGAGACACUAUUCUACCUACCCUGGUCCUGAAAUCUGUUCAUCUGCAAAAAGAAGGUCUCGUGGACCUGUUAUGGCAGCAAAAAAAGCGUCUGAAGGUGCAUAAGUUAACCUAAUUGAAUGAAUUCCACUGUGAAUAGAUUGGAACUCAAGGUUUCGUUUUGAUGGUUUCUGACGUUUGCAGUCUCCCCCUUCUGUUUUGAAUAUAGUUAGGUCCUUCAUAAAGUUUUCCUGUUUAUUUUAUCUUUCCUUUGAAAGGGAUGGCUGAAUAGGACAACAGCAUAGAAGUCCCAAAUAAAAAUUAUGGUUACAGGGAAGUUGAGAAUUGAAAUAUUUCUUAAUUGACGAUAAGAAAUAUACCAAAUAAUAUGAAACUGCAAAAAGUUAAAUUUAAGUGGCAAAAUAUAAGUUGAACAGUAAGGUGUGGGUGAACAAGUGAAGUUUGCCUUGUCUAUGAGGGAGGGAUAUUUGUUGUCACUCCUUAAUACUGAUUUGGAUCCUGUCUUUGUAAUUGCUAAGUACUUGAUACCCUUUAGGAUUAAAGAAGGAUGAUGGAAAAUACAAACACACGGUUGACCUACCAAAGACAACAUUUAGCUUGAGGGCAAAUUCUACAGUAAGGGAGCCUGAGAUUCAGAAAUUGUGGGAUGAGCAUCAGGUGUUUAAGAGAGUUGUUGAUAGGAAUGAUGGAGUAAGUAUUUCUGCACACUUGAAUCUGUCUCAUACCUCCCUUUGUUGUAAUUAAUGUUUUGUUACUUUGACAGGGUAGUUUUAUUCUCCAUGAUGGUCCUCCUUAUGCUAAUGGUGAUUUGCACAUGGGGCACGCUUUAAAUAAAAUUUUGAAGGAUAUUAUAAACCGUUACAAGGUAGCCAUGCUGUCCUUCAUAUUGCUACUUUGAUCUUGAUAAUGAAAGUUCAUCCAUGUUUUCCAGAUUUUCAGUUAUUGUUGGCUGAUACUCAUAUUCAAGCAUCUGUGCCUACAUGUUCUCAUAAACAUCUUGUUGUCUAAUAAUUCUUUGUUCUUUACAGCUUCUUCAAAAUUUUAAGGUUCAAUACGUUCCAGGGUGGGAUUGUCAUGGCUUACCAAUAGAACUAAAAGGCACGUAUCAGUGGCUAUUAAUGUAAUAAUUUGUUGUGUUUAAUUCAUUAUUCCCAUUUUUGGUUGGCAACUAUUCACAUGCUAUGAUGCUUUUGGUCAGGGGUUACUGUAAUAUAUAAAAUAGAAGCUAGAAAUUAUGCAUGAAGCAGAAAAUGUAAAAAUGAAAGGCAAGAAUGGCACUUUAGGAGAAAAACUAGAAUUACUUCAAGUAUGCUUAUUUGAACUGGCAAAUUUAUUUUUGUUAAUAAGAACAAAAAUUCCUUGUAAUUUGGGAAUCUAACAGAUAUGUUUGUGCUCCAUCUUUUUGUGAAUUAUUUCAGUAUUGCAGUCACUAGAUGAGGUUACCAGGAAGGAGCUGACACCAUUAAAGUUGAGGAAAAAGGCAGCAAAAUUUGCCACUGCAACUGUGAAAGCUCAAAUGGCAUCAUUUAGGGUAUUCACUCGAGUUUUUUAUUGUUAGACUAAUAUAGGCUAACCUUUUUUCUCACAAAUCAAUCCCUGGGUGUCUGAGAAAUUCUUCAGUGCUAAUGGUUCCUUCAAAGUGGGUUUCAGAGAUAUGGAGUAUGGGGAGACUGGGAUCAUCCUUAUCUAACUCUUGAUCCAGAGUAUGAAGCUGCACAGGUAGUUGGAAUAGCUAUUAAGGGAUUUUAUAUUUUAAGGCUUCCUUGGUUAAGAUUUUUGUAGCACAUCUUGUUAUAGCAGGUCAAUUUCGACAAUGCAUGGUUGAAUUUUUUUGUGGGGUGGGGGGGGGGGGCAGGGACGUCUGUAUUUUGUGUUUUACAUCUUUCUCAUUAUCUUAUUGAAGGCCAAUAUACACCUGCUUGCAUUUGCAGCUUUCAUAGUUUACUACUUAGGAGUUGAAGCUUAUUGAUCUGUUUUACCUGAUUUCUGCAAGAUUGAAGUAUUUGGCAAAAUGGCUAUUCAAGGGUUUAUCUAUAGGGGAAGAAAACCAGUUCACUGGAGUCCGUCAUCACGCACUGCUCUUGCUGAAGCAGAGUUGGAGGUAGAUGGAUCUUUCCAUACAUCUUCUCAAUGGGCCCAUUUUCCUGUAUUUUCUGCAUGCUUUUGCCACUAAAGAAUUCAAAAUCUGGCCAUGCCAUCUCCUUUCCAUUCUCCUUUUCUGAGGAACUUUAGAGAUGUACAUUAAGUGCUUUGAUACCCUUGCUCUUUUGUCAUUGAUUCAAAUCGUACUUUUAAUAGCUUAAAAAUUUUAUACCUUAAAAUCUCUAACAAUUAAGGGCUAUUAAUGAAAUUUGAAAGUAUUUACCUUCAAUCAUUGAUUUUGGUAAAACUUUUGGGACACCUAAGAGAAUUGAGGGCCAAUAAAGAUGGGAUAUGGUGUAACUUUUGGUGCUUGAAAUAAUUAUUCAUCCCGAUGAACAAACUUAACAUGCCUCUCAUCUAUAUACACCUUAUCUUCUUUGAAAUUCACCUGCAGUAUCCUGAAGGGCAUGUUUCCAACAGCAUGUAUGCCAUUUUCAAACUAGUCAAUGCUCCGAAUUUGUGCAAUUUAUUGGAGGAAUUCUUCCCUAAUUUGUGCUUGGCUAUCUGGACCACAACUCCAUGGACUAUACCUGCUAAUGCUGGUAAGUUAAUUGUCAUGUGUUAGAAAGGAGAUAAUUAGGCUUAUUUGCAGGAAUUCUAUUACUUUUAACGUUAUCUUCUGUCAAAAUUUGUUGGACUUAGAAGUACAUGACUGCUAUAGAGGAUACGUAAUGUGCAUGUGAUAUUUUAAAGUUAUGGAAAGAUGGACACAUGCAAUUCAAUGUGUCCAACUCAAUCUGUAAUGUCCUCCAUAUAUCCAUUCUUUUACCUCUGGUUGAGUUGUUGGGUAUAUUUUUAUUUUUUUUUCUUUCAAGAAAGGCUCUACCUUUUUUGAGAUAAACAGAUGAAAUUUGAAUUCUUUGUUUCUCUUAUCAUGAAAAGAAAUUUGGAAAGUAAUGCUUACUGAAUUGGCCGGCACGCUAGGUGCUUGAUCAUAGGUCCCAUUUUUUAUGUUUACUUUUCUUUUUCCUUUUUUUUGGACUUCUCUACAUUGAUUUUCUAAGCAUGGGGAGUAUGGUAAGACGUGUGUGCUGUUCAGUGACUUUUUUUUUAAGUGAAAAAUUUCUACUUCUAUUAAGUAUUGGCAACAAAGUAACGGAGCUUUUUAUGUAUGCAUAGACCAAUUUUGCUUUUCAUCUUUGUUUAAUUAUGAAUUAUAGAGAAGUGACAAUAUUCGUCACCUGGUAAUCUGAGGCCGAUUAGAAGUUUUAAAUUGAAUUUUGUUUUGGUUAUUUAUGUGUCAGUCUCCUAUUCCAGUUGUUUCUUAUUGACCAAAGCUUGUGGAAGGCUGUCCAUCAUCUAGAAAGAAUUCUAGAUGAGAGAUCCUACAGAAUGACUUGAUCAUUCCUCUUUAGAAUUGGAGCAAUUUAAUUUGGUAUCUUAUAUUUCCUCAGGUGAUAUUGCUGAAGAACUGUCCAUCAUUCAGGAAAACUCCACCCGUUAGCUUCCUGUAUCUCAGAAAAUGUUCAUCAUCUCAAUUGCUAUCUCUAUUAUCUCUGUUAAAUGUGAGACACUAUUCUACCUACCCUGGUCCUGAAAUCUGUUCAUCUGCAAAAAGAAGGUCUCGUGGACCUGUUAUGGCAGCAAAAAAAGCGUCUGAAGGUGCAUAAGUUAACCUAAUUGAAUGAAUUCCACUGUGAAUAGAUUGGAACUCAAGGUUUCGUUUUGAUGGUUUCUGACGUUUGCAGUCUCCCCCU
Molecule: long non-coding RNA, 3945 nt
Filed under: Coffea arabica (coffee)
Lineage: Eukaryota; Viridiplantae; Streptophyta; Magnoliopsida; Gentianales; Rubiaceae
Description: long non-coding RNA (CARA_LNC002405)
Source: RNAcentral